This 514-nucleotide ribosomal RNA is filed under the name uncultured bacterium. RNAcentral describes it as "partial 16S ribosomal RNA". It matches the Rfam family "Bacterial small subunit ribosomal RNA", at positions 28 to 523 of the family's 1533-position model. The record is from RNAcentral.
GAUGAACGCUGGCGGCGUGCCUAAUACAUGCAAGUCGAGCGAAUGGAUUAAGAGCUUGCUCUUAUGAAGUUAGCGGCGGACGGGUGAGUAACACGUGGGUAACCUGCCCAUAAGACUGGGAUAACUCCGGGAAACCGGGGCUAAUACCGGAUAACAUUUUGAACCGCAUGGUUCGAAAUUGAAAGGCGGCUUCGGCUGUCACUUAUGGAUGGACCCGCGUCGCAUUAGCUAGUUGGUGAGGUAACGGCUCACCAAGGCAACGAUGCGUAGCCGACCGGAGAGGGUGCUCGGCCACACUGGGACUGAGACACGGCCCAGACUCCUACGGGAGGCAGCAGUAGGGAAUCUUCCGCAAUGGACGAAAGUCUGACGGAGCAACGCCGCGUGAGUGAUGAAGGCUUCGGGUCGUAAAACUCUGUUGUUAGGGAAGAACAAGUGCUAGUUGAAUAAGCUGGCACCUUGACGGUACCUAACCAGAAAGCCACGGCUAACUACGUGCCAGCCGCCGCCGUAA